AGGGCCAUAGCUUAGUGGUAGAGCACCUGCUUUGCAUGCAGAAGGUCUCAGGUUCGAUCCCCGAUGAACCUU
RNAcentral lists this transfer RNA (72 nucleotides) under Podarcis lilfordi (Lilford's wall lizard). It matches the Rfam family "tRNA". Rfam says of the family: Transfer RNA (tRNA) molecules are approximately 80 nucleotides in length. Their secondary structure includes four short double-helical elements and three loops (D, anti-codon, and T loops). Further hydrogen bonds mediate the characteristic L-shaped molecular structure. tRNAs have two regions of fundamental functional importance: the anti-codon, which is responsible for specific mRNA codon recognition, and the 3' end, to which the tRNAs corresponding amino acid is attached (by aminoacyl-tRNA synthetases). tRNAs cope with the degeneracy of the genetic code in two manners: having more than one tRNA (with a specific anti-codon) for a particular amino acid; and 'wobble' base-pairing, i.e. permitting non-standard base-pairing at the 3rd anti-codon position. Lineage: Eukaryota; Metazoa; Chordata; Lepidosauria; Squamata; Lacertidae. The record is from Rfam by way of RNAcentral.